AUAAACAUACUCAGCUCUUUUAGGACAUGUGCAACUUAAAAUGGUCCUUGGAAGCCGGAGGCGUUCUGGGGACAUUGGUAUGCGUGAACAUGAACUUAAGACUCUUUGGUUUCCAAGGGUCCUUCAGAGCACCCUGUCCUGAAACAACAAACAUCCUUCUGCUCUUGAAACUGGUUCAGAGCAGAACAGAAAAAGCAGGCCUGCGGGGGGGAAGCUUUGGAGGUUUCAUGAUGAAGGGCUAUUGGUUUCCAGUACAUCACCUUACCCAGUUUCCAGCGACUGUCUACAUCUGGCUCCGACCUGCACCUGGUCCCAUGGGCUACUCUGACUGACCUUUAUACGAGACAUAAAUAUCCCGCUCCCCUACUCUGCCCUGCUGAUGCCCUUUUGGCUUCAGCCCUACUGCUAGCAGAUGUAAUAAUCUAUACUAAUAAAAGGGCAAUACGCUAA
Molecule: long non-coding RNA, 450 nt
Organism: Pipistrellus kuhlii (Kuhl's pipistrelle)
Lineage: Eukaryota; Metazoa; Chordata; Mammalia; Chiroptera; Vespertilionidae
Exons: 2
Source: RefSeq, a predicted model, not a curated record